AUUGAACGCCGGCGGAAUGCUUUACACAUGCAAGUCGAACGGUAGAGGGGGCAACCCCUCGAGAGUGGCGAACGGGUGAGUAAUAUAUCGGAACGUGCCCAGUCGUGGGGGAUAAAGUAGCGAAAGUUACGCUAAUACCGCAUACGAUCUAAGGUUGAAAGCGGGGGAUCGCAAGACCUCGCCCGAUAGGCACGGCCGCCAUCAGAUUAGGUAUUUGGUGGGGUAAAGGCGAACCAAGUCAACGAUCUGUAGCUGGUCUGGGAGGACGACCAGCCACACUGGAACUGAGACACGGUCCAGACUCCUACGGGAGGCAGCAGUGGGGAAUUUUGGACAAUGGGCGAAAGCCUGAUCCAGCCAUUCCGCGUGCAGGAUGAAGGCCCUCGGGUUGUAAACUGCUUUUGUACAGAACGAAAAGGUUUCUACUAAUACUAGGAGCUCAUGACGGUACUGUAAGAAUAAGCACCGGCUAACUACGUGCCAGCCGCCGCCGUAA
Molecule: ribosomal RNA, 496 nt
Filed under: uncultured bacterium
Lineage: Bacteria
Description: partial 16S ribosomal RNA
Rfam family: Bacterial small subunit ribosomal RNA
Source: RNAcentral